AUUUUGAUGGUCGAAUCUUAGCAGGCGAUAGGUUGUAAACCUAUAUAUAGGAUCUAAAAUAUCCUUCAGAAUA
Molecule: transfer RNA, 73 nt
Filed under: Lissachatina fulica (giant African snail)
Lineage: Eukaryota; Metazoa; Mollusca; Gastropoda; Stylommatophora; Achatinidae
Description: tRNA-Tyr
Source: RNAcentral